UGGGGGGAGUACGGCCGCAAGGCUAAAACUCAAAGGAAUUGACGGGGGCCCGCACAAGCGCGGAGCAUGCGGAUUAAUUCGAUGCAACGCGAAGAACCUUACCAAGGCUUGACAUGGGCCGGAUCGGGCUGGAAACAGUCCUUCCCCUUUGGGGCCGGUUCACAGGUGGUGCAUGGUUGUCGUCAGCUCGUGUCGUGAGAUGUUGGGUUAAGUCCCGCAACGAGCGCAACCCUCGUUCCAUGUUGCCAGCACGUAGUGGUGGGGACUCAUGGGAGACUGCCGGGGUCAACUCGGAGGAAGGUGAGGACGACGUCAAAUCAUCAUGCCCCUUAUGUCUUGGGCUUCACGCAUGCUACAAUGGCCGGUACAAUGGGUUGCGAUACUGUGAGGUGGAGCUAAUCCCAAAAAGCCGGUCUCAGUUCGGAUUGGGGUCUGCAACACGACCCCACCCAGUCGGAGUCGCUAGUAAUCGCAGAUCAGCAACGCUGCGGUGAAUACGUUCCCGGGCCUUGUACACACCGCCCGUCAAGUCACGAAAGUUGGUAACACCCGAAGCCGGUGGCCCAACCCUUUUUGGGAGGGAGCCGUCGAAGGUGGGACCGUCGAUUGGGACUAAGUCGUAACUAAGGUAGCCGUACCGGAAGGUGCGGCUGGAUCACCUC
RNAcentral lists this ribosomal RNA (662 nucleotides) under uncultured bacterium. RNAcentral describes it as "bacterial SSU rRNA". It matches the Rfam family "Bacterial small subunit ribosomal RNA", at positions 872 to 1529 of the family's 1533-position model. The record is from RNAcentral.